RNAcentral lists this ribosomal RNA (497 nucleotides) under uncultured bacterium. Its description in RNAcentral is "partial 16S ribosomal RNA". It matches the Rfam family "Bacterial small subunit ribosomal RNA", at positions 28 to 507 of the family's 1533-position model. The record is from RNAcentral.
GAUGAACGCUGGCGGCGUGCCUAAUACAUGCAAGUCGAGCGAACGGACGAGAAGCUUGCUUCUCUGAUGUUAGCGGCGGACGGGUGAGUAACACGUGGAUAACCUACCUAUAAGACUGGGAUAACUUCGGGAAACCGGAGCUAAUACCGGAUAAUAUUUUGAACCGCAUGGUUCAAAAGUGAAAGCCGGUCUUGCUGUCACUUAUAGAUGGAUCCGCGCUGCAUUAGCUAGUUGGUAAGGUAACGGCUUACCAAGGCAACGAUGCAUAGCCGACCUGAGAGGGUGAUCGGCCACACUGGAACUGAGACACGGUCCAGACUCCUACGGGAGGCAGCAGUAGGGAAUCUUCCGCAAUGGGCGAAAGCCUGACGGAGCAACGCCGCGUGAGUGAUGAAGGUCUUCGGAUCGUAAAACUCUGUUAUGAGGGAAGAACAUAUGUGUAAGUAACUGUGCACAUCUUGACGGUACCUAAUCAGAAAGCCACGGCUAACUACGUG